RNAcentral lists this ribosomal RNA (520 nucleotides) under uncultured Entrophospora. RNAcentral's name for it is "SSU rRNA". It matches the Rfam family "Eukaryotic small subunit ribosomal RNA", at positions 569 to 1086 of the family's 1831-position model. The record is from RNAcentral. Lineage: Eukaryota; Fungi; Glomeromycota; Glomeromycetes; Entrophosporales; Entrophosporaceae.
AGCAGCCGCGGUAAUUCCAGCUCCAAUAGCGUAUAUUAAAGUUGUUGCAGUUAAAAAGCUCGUAGUUGAAUUUCGGGAUUGGCGUGUCGGUCGUGCCUUAAGGGGUAUGAACUGGCGUCGUCGAUUUCUCACCUUCUGGAGAAACGCGAUGCCCUUAAUUGGGUGUCGUGCGGAACCAGGACCUUUACCUUGAAAAAUUAGAGUGUUUAAAGCAGGCAUUUUUGCUCGAAUACAUUAGCAUGGAAUAAUAAAAUAGGACGGUUGGUUCUAUUUUGUUGGUUUCUAGGAUCACCGUAAUGAUUAAUAGGGAUAGUUGGGGGCAUUAGUAUUCAAUUGUCAGAGGUGAAAUUCUUGGAUUUAUUGAAGACUAACUACUGCGAAAGCAUUUGCCAAGGAUGUUUUCAUUAAUCAAGAACGAAAGUUAGGGGAUCGAAGACGAUCAGAUACUGUCGUAGUCUUAACCAUAAACUAUGCCGACUAGGAAUCAGACGAUGUAAUUUUUUAAUGACUCGUUUGGCAC